CCUACGGGAUGCAGCAGUGGGGAAUAUUGGACAAUGGGCGAAAGCCUGAUCCAGCCAUGCCGCGUGUGUGAAGAAGGCCUUCGGGUUGUAAAGCACUUUCAGUGGGGAAGAAAGCCUUGGGGCUAAUACCCUCGAGGAAGGACAUCACCCACAGAAGAAGCACCGGCUAACUCCGUGCCAGCAGCCGCGGUAAUACGGAGGGUGCGAGCGUUAAUCGGAAUUACUGGGCGUAAAGCGCGCGUAGGCGGUCUGAUAAGCCGGUUGUGAAAGCCCCGGGCUCAACCUGGGAACGGCAUCCGGAACUGUCAGGCUAGAGUGCAGGAGAGGAAGGUAGAAUUCCCGGUGUAGCGGUGAAAUGCGUAGAGAUCGGGAGGAAUACCAGUGGCGAAGGCGGCCUUCUGGACUGACACUGACGCUGAGGUGCGAAAGCGUGGGUAGCAAACAGGAUUAGAGACCCUAGUAGUC
This 465-nucleotide ribosomal RNA is filed under the name Vreelandella stevensii. Its description in RNAcentral is "partial 16S ribosomal RNA". It matches the Rfam family "Bacterial small subunit ribosomal RNA", at positions 338 to 795 of the family's 1533-position model. The record is from RNAcentral. Lineage: Bacteria; Pseudomonadati; Pseudomonadota; Gammaproteobacteria; Oceanospirillales; Halomonadaceae.